This 305-nucleotide ribosomal RNA is filed under the name uncultured bacterium. RNAcentral's name for it is "bacterial SSU rRNA". It matches the Rfam family "Bacterial small subunit ribosomal RNA", at positions 334 to 635 of the family's 1533-position model. The record is from RNAcentral.
UUAACCUACGGGGCGCAGCAGUGAGGAAUAUUGGUCAAUGGGCUUACGCCUGAACCAGCCAAGUCGCGUGAGGGAAGACUGCCCUAUGGGUUGUAAACCUCUUUUGUCAGGGAGCAAUUGGCGCUACGUGUAGCGUUAUCGAGGGUACCUGAAGAAAAAGCAUCGGCUAACUCCGUGCCAGCAGCCGCGGUAAUACGUAGGUGGCAAGCGUUAUCCGGAUUUACUGGGUGUAAAGGGCGAGUAGGCGGGAUUGCAAGUCAGAUGUGAAAACUAUGGGCUCAACCGAUAGAGUGCAUUUGAAACUG